Molecule: long non-coding RNA, 543 nt
Organism: Haliotis rufescens (red abalone)
Lineage: Eukaryota; Metazoa; Mollusca; Gastropoda; Lepetellida; Haliotidae
Exons: 4
Source: RefSeq, a predicted model, not a curated record
CCUCACUGAAAGUCACGUGCAUCUGUACCAGGACCUGCUUGUUCGGCGUCCGGAGAGCAUUUGGAACAUGUAUGUACAUAUGUUCCCCUGUGCAGUGGGCGCUACGACGGUCUACACGUGAACAAUCUGUUCAACCAUUGUCUGGAAGCUUUGCAUCAACGCCACAAGCUGCAUCACGGCGGCUGAUAUAACAGUUUCCCAAGUCUUAAAUAAGCAUUUCGCAUUCGACAAGAGACUUAAGCUGUGCUAAAAAAAAUAGGACUUCUUCGCUGUUAGAAUUCGUCGUCAAUCAGGAGGAAGAAUUGUGCUGGUAACUUACAUGCCGGGUCCAGAUCCACGUCCACACAAACAGUGGCCGUCGUAGCAGUGGUGUACGUCACGGUUGUCUCUACAAUGACAGCUGUCGCAGUCGGAACGGGCGGCGCAUGUGGCUAUAAAACGUGGAAAUUCUGACUUUCAUAUCAUGAUAAAAUUUUGUCAGGAAGUAAUAACAUUUAUACUUUUAACACAAAAAUGAAAUACAAAGGAUACUUUCAAAUUAAA